UACAGAGGUCCCAAGCGUUGUUCGGAUUCACUGGGCGUAAAGAGCGUGUAGGCGGCCGUACAGGUCAGCUGUGAAAACUCGAGGCUCAACCUCGAGACGUCGGUGGAAACCGUUUGGCUAGAGUCCGGAAGAGGAGAGUGGAAUUCCCGGUGUAGCGGUGAAAUGCGCAGAUAUCGGGAAGAACACCCGUGGCGAAGGCGGCUCUCUGGGACGGUACUGACGCUGAGACGCGAAAGCGUGGGGAGCGAACAGG
RNAcentral lists this ribosomal RNA (253 nucleotides) under uncultured bacterium. RNAcentral's name for it is "partial 16S ribosomal RNA". It matches the Rfam family "Bacterial small subunit ribosomal RNA", at positions 524 to 776 of the family's 1533-position model. The record is from RNAcentral.